GGCUGGUCCGAAGGUAGUGAGAUCUCACAACGAUUGCUUACAGUCAAUUGCUGGUCGACCUAUUUGUCUACCCCCCCCUCACUACUGCACUUGACUAGUCCUAA
Echinops telfairi (small Madagascar hedgehog) is the source of this 104-nucleotide unclassified non-coding RNA. It matches the Rfam family "Y RNA". Rfam says of the family: Y RNAs are components of the Ro ribonucleoprotein particle (Ro RNP), in association with Ro60 and La proteins. NCBI's taxonomy places the organism in Eukaryota, Metazoa, Chordata, Mammalia, Afrosoricida, Tenrecidae. The record is from Ensembl.